This 460-nucleotide ribosomal RNA is filed under the name uncultured bacterium. RNAcentral's name for it is "partial 16S ribosomal RNA". It matches the Rfam family "Bacterial small subunit ribosomal RNA", at positions 338 to 795 of the family's 1533-position model. The record is from RNAcentral.
CCUACGGGGGGCAGCAGUGAGGAAUAUUGGUCAAUGGACGAGAGUCUGAACCAGCCAAGUAGCGUGAAGGAUGACUGCCCUAUGGGUUGUAAACUUCUUUUAUAUGGGAAUAAAAUGUUCCACGUGUGGGAUUUUGUAUGUACCAUAUGAAUAAGGAUUGGCUAACUCCGUGCCAGCAGCCGCGGUAAUACGGAGGAUCCGAGCGUUAUCCGGAUUUAUUGGGUUUAAAGGGAGCGUAGGUGGAUUGUUAAGUCAGUUGUGAAAGUUUGCGGCUCAACCGUAAAAUUGCAGUUGAAACUGGCAGUCUUGAGUACAGUAGAGGUGGGCGGAAUUCGUGGUGUAGCGGUGAAAUGCUUAGAUAUCACGAAGAACUCCGAUUGCGAAGGCAGUUCACUGGACUGCAACUGACACUGAGGCUCGAAAGUGUGGGUAUCAAACAGGAUUAGAUACCCCUGUAGUC